Long non-coding RNA from Girardinichthys multiradiatus, 954 nucleotides. RefSeq lists it as uncharacterized. The record is from RefSeq and is a predicted model, not a curated record. NCBI's taxonomy places the organism in Eukaryota, Metazoa, Chordata, Actinopteri, Cyprinodontiformes, Goodeidae. The transcript has 7 exons.
CUCACUAACACAGGAGCUGCUGACAAUGUGUGAGAGGGGUGCUGGAAAAUGGACACUGCAGGACUGAGAAAGCUUGGUUCAAGGAAAGGACGGAGCCAGUGAGCUGCGGGCUGUAUUUGAAUACAUGUUUUUCACCUAUUGUGGCCUUGACAACUUUCAAAAUAAAAGAUAAAAAAGGAAGAAUUGAUUAUUGGUCAUUGAGUGAAGUCCAGUUCAAAGUAUUCUGAAGCAAGCUGUUUUUUCAAGUGGGGGAAACCUGCAGUUUAAACCAAAACACGGGGAACCACUUGACAGACGCAAAGUGCAUCCUGGUGUCAUUUGUCUCCCUGGUGAGCGAAUCACAUGUACCAGAUCGUCAGACCAACCAGAAAGGACUUUCAUUCAGAGCAGGAGAACAACACAACUGCAAGGGUCACAUUUGAAAUUAGAUUCAUCCUUCUGAUCUCUACAAAGGGAUACGAGAAAUAGAACUUUUGGAGAGAGUAAAAAGUGCAAACUGAUUGCUGAGAUGAAUGUCCCAUGAAUUGGGGCGACAGGCUGUAGAGUAGAAAGGAAGAAAACUGCAACUGAUUGAUAGUCGGAGAGCAGAGCCGCUGUAAAAGAAAGAUGAAGUACGGAGCCAUGGAGUUGGAGAUGACUUGGAUUUGGAGACUGUGAGAAAAAACAUUGACUGGUGCAGUCAGAAAUUUGCAAGCAUUCAUCAGGGCCAUCAAUGUGAUAAUUUUAACCUUUUGUUCAAUCAUUAAAGCUGCUCUUUUUACAGUGUUGAAUGUUGUACCGCAUACAAUUUCGAGGAUUUUUAAAAACAAGAAUUGAAUGUAGAACUUUAAAUGUAUUGUGAUCAGAACAUACAAGCUCAAAUGCAUAAAUACAUUAUUCUAUUAGAUUUUCUUUACUUACAUGGCCUAGAUCUUGUUUGUGAUCAUGAACUGUUUAUUGCUAAAAUAAAUAGAA